Molecule: ribosomal RNA, 535 nt
Filed under: uncultured bacterium
Lineage: Bacteria
Description: bacterial SSU rRNA
Rfam family: Bacterial small subunit ribosomal RNA
Source: RNAcentral
CGGACCUUGACAUACUAAGAACUUUCCAGAGAUGGAUUGGUGCCUUCGGGAACUUAGAUACAGGUGCUGCAUGGCUGUCGUCAGCUCGUGUCGUGAGAUGUUGGGUUAAGUCCCGNAACGAGCGCAACCCUUUUCCUUAUUUGCCAGCGGGUCAUGCCGGGAACUUUAAGGAUACUGCCAGUGACAAACUGGAGGAAGGCGGGGACGACGUCAAGUCAUCAUGGCCCUUACGGCCAGGGCUACACACGUGCUACAAUGGUCGGUACAAAGGGUUGCUACCUCGCGAGAGGAUGCUAAUCUCAAAAAGCCGAUCGUAGUCCGGAUCGCAGUCUGCAACUCGACUGCGUGAAGUCGGAAUCGCUAGUAAUCGCGGAUCAGAAUGCCGCGGUGAAUACGUUCCCGGGCCUUGUACACACCGCCCGUCACACCAUGGGAGUUUGUUGCACCAGAAGUAGGUAGUCUAACCGCAAGGAGGACGCUUACCACGGUGUGGCCGAUGACUGGGGUGAAGUCGUAACAAGGUAAGCGUAGAUGA